UCUGCCCCUAGAGGCAUUGCCUGUGUGUCAGCUACAUCACCUGUGCAUCAAUAGGUGGCAGAGAGGCGGGGGCUAUGUGUACACUCAGUGUUCUAACCUGUGAACAUCUGAACGAGAAGUGCCUUAACACU
Mastomys coucha (southern multimammate mouse) is the source of this 131-nucleotide small nucleolar RNA. RefSeq annotates it as small nucleolar RNA SNORA17. The transcript has a single exon. The record is from RefSeq and is a predicted model, not a curated record. Lineage: Eukaryota; Metazoa; Chordata; Mammalia; Rodentia; Muridae.